CCCUUAGAUGUUCUGGGCCGCACGCGCGCUACACUGAUGCAUUCAACAAGCCUAGCCUUGACCGAGAGGUCCGGGUAAUCUUUGAAACUGCAUCGUGAUGGGGCUAGAUUAUUGCAAUUAUUAAUCUUCAACGAGGAAUGCCUAGUAAGCGUGAUUCAUCAAAUCGCGUUGAUUACGUCCCUGCCCUUUGUACACACCGCCCGUCGCUCCUACCGAUUGAAUGUGUUGGUGAGGAGCUCGGAUUGGCAGCAGUUGGUGGUUCGCCACCGGCUAUUGCUGAGAAGUCCUCCAAACCGCCCCAUUUAGAGGAAGGAGAAGUCGUAACA
This 326-nucleotide ribosomal RNA is filed under the name uncultured eukaryote. Its description in RNAcentral is "partial 18S ribosomal RNA". It matches the Rfam family "Eukaryotic small subunit ribosomal RNA", at positions 1470 to 1796 of the family's 1831-position model. The record is from RNAcentral.